GGCAUUCCCCGGAUACCUGAGGAUGAUGGACCUACAGGACCAGCCGUUGUGCCUGAUGCCACUACAGUUUCUGGGACUGAUAGUUUGCCUGAGAGCGGUGUUUCCCCGCCACAGCCGAGAGGUAUGAUCGAUUUGCCUACAGGGGUUGAUAUAUCCUCCAUGACUACUCCUGCAGUUACUUCGGAACCUGUCGGAUCUCAGCCCGAGGGGACCUCCGUUGGCAUUGGAUCUCGAUCAUCUCUAUAUGAGCAUGUUCACGCCCUC
Asparagus officinalis (garden asparagus) is the source of this 264-nucleotide long non-coding RNA. RefSeq lists it as uncharacterized. The transcript has 3 exons. The record is from RefSeq and is a predicted model, not a curated record. NCBI's taxonomy places the organism in Eukaryota, Viridiplantae, Streptophyta, Magnoliopsida, Asparagales, Asparagaceae.